AGAGUUUGAUCCUGGCUCAGGAUGAACGCUAGCGGCAGGCCUAGUACAUGCAAGUCGAACGCUCAGUAGCAAUACUGGGAGUGGCGCACGGGUGCGUAACGCGUACACAAUCUACCUCUAAGCGGGGGACACCUCCUGGAAACGGGGAUUAAUACCGCAUAAUAUGCCGAAGUCGCAUGACUUUGGUAUUAAAGCAGCAAUGCACUUAGAGAUGAGUGUGCGUCCCAUUAGGUAGUUGGUGAGGUAACGGCUCACCAAGUCUAUGAUGGGUAGCCGGUCUGAGAGGAUGGUCGGCCACACGGGCACUGAGACACGGGCCCGACUCCUACGGGAGGCAGCAGUAAGGAAUAUUGGUCAAUGGUGGAAACACUGAACCAGCCAUGCCGCGUGGAGGAAUAAGGUCCUACGGAUUGUAAACUCCUUUUGACGAGGAAGAAAAUGUUAGAUUUAUCUAAUUUUGACGGUACUCGUAGAAUAAGCACCGGCUAACUCCGUG
This 496-nucleotide ribosomal RNA is filed under the name uncultured bacterium. Its description in RNAcentral is "bacterial SSU rRNA". It matches the Rfam family "Bacterial small subunit ribosomal RNA", at positions 8 to 507 of the family's 1533-position model. The record is from RNAcentral.